GUGAAUCAUCAAAUUUUUGAACGCAAAUUGCACUUUCUGGUAUUCCGGAAAGUAUGCCUGUUUGAGGGUCAGUUAAAUAAACAUCGGUGUUGUUGCUGCUUUUCGUGGAGACGUGCUGGAAUCGAGUUGUCUUACCUUCGUUUAAGUGACUUAAAAUUUUGCAUGAUUUUCGAACGUCUUUAAAUCGCUUACGUACGUUUGAGAUAUCGAAUGCUUAUUAGGUCCGGUCAUUCCCAUGAUUCGCGCCUAUAAUUUUUCAUUAAAUGACCUCAAAUCCGGUAAGAAUACCCGCUGAACUUAA
RNAcentral lists this unclassified non-coding RNA (301 nucleotides) under Glomus sp. RNAcentral describes it as "partial contains 5.8S ribosomal RNA, internal transcribed spacer 2, and large subunit ribosomal RNA". The stretch from base 1 to 71 matches the Rfam family "5.8S ribosomal RNA", at positions 84 to 154 of the family's 154-position model. Lineage: Eukaryota; Fungi; Glomeromycota; Glomeromycetes; Glomerales; Glomeraceae. The record is from RNAcentral.